Molecule: ribosomal RNA, 491 nt
Filed under: uncultured bacterium
Lineage: Bacteria
Description: partial 16S ribosomal RNA
Rfam family: Bacterial small subunit ribosomal RNA
Source: RNAcentral
AGUGAACGCUGGCGGUAGGCCUAACACAUGCAAGUCGAACGACAGCACAGUAAGAGCUUGCUCUUACGGGUGGCGAGUGGCGGACGGGUGAGGAAUACAUCGGAAUCUACUUUUUCGUGGGGGAUAACGUAGGGAAACUUACGCUAAUACCGCAUACGACCUACGGGUGAAAGCAGGGGAUCUUCGGACCUUGCGCGAUUGAAUGAGCCGAUGUCGGAUUAGCUAGUUGGCGGGGUAAAGGCCCACCAAGGCGACGAUCCGUAGCUGGUCUGAGAGGAUGAUCAGCCACACUGGAACUGAGACACGGUCCAGACUCCUACGGGAGGCAGCAGUGGGGAAUAUUGGACAGUGGGCGCAAGCCUGAUCCAGCCAUACCGCGUGGGUGAAGAAGGCCUUCGGGUUGUAAAGCCCUUUUGUUGGGAAAGAAAAGCAGCAGGUUAAUACCCCGCUGUUCUGACGGUACCCAAAGAAUAAGCACCGGCUAACUUCGU